Molecule: long non-coding RNA, 279 nt
Filed under: Salvia miltiorrhiza (redroot sage)
Lineage: Eukaryota; Viridiplantae; Streptophyta; Magnoliopsida; Lamiales; Lamiaceae
Description: long non-coding RNA (SMIL_LNC010594)
Source: RNAcentral
UCCAGUGAGACCCCCUAUUUUUCGUGUAACAUGAGUACAAUGAAUAAGACAUAUAAUACUAAUGAACAAAACACAUAUCUAAUGAACAAGAUGUAUAUACUGAUGAAAAAUAAAAUUUAAAAAAUUCGUAAUGAAUAAGACAUAUAUACUGAUGAACAGGGCCGUAUAUACUGAUGAACAACACAGUAUAUACUGAUGAAUAACAAAAUUUAAAAUAUUCUGCUCCCUCCAGGAUUCGAACCCUGCAAAAAAAAAAUCACCCUCCAGAUACAAUAUCAG